Transfer RNA from Camelus ferus (Wild Bactrian camel), 72 nucleotides. It matches the Rfam family "tRNA". From Rfam's summary of the family: Transfer RNA (tRNA) molecules are approximately 80 nucleotides in length. Their secondary structure includes four short double-helical elements and three loops (D, anti-codon, and T loops). The record is from Rfam. NCBI's taxonomy places the organism in Eukaryota, Metazoa, Chordata, Mammalia, Artiodactyla, Camelidae.
GAGGGUGCAGCUCUGUGGUAGAGCACGUGCUUAGCAUGCACAAGGUCCUGGGUUCAAUCCCCAAUACCUGCA